This 492-nucleotide ribosomal RNA is filed under the name uncultured bacterium. RNAcentral's name for it is "partial 16S ribosomal RNA". It matches the Rfam family "Bacterial small subunit ribosomal RNA", at positions 29 to 507 of the family's 1533-position model. The record is from RNAcentral.
AGUGAACGCUGGCGGUAGGCCUAACACAUGCAAGUCGAACGGCAGCACAGUAAGAGCUUGCUCUUACGGGUGGCGAGUGGCGGACGGGUGAGGAAUACAUCGGAAUCUACCUUUUCGUGGGGGAUAACGUAGGGAAACUUACGCUAAUACCGCAUACGACCUACGGGUGAAAGCAGGGGAUCUUCGGACCUUGCGCGAUUGAAUGAGCCGAUGUCGGAUUAGCUAGUUGGCGGGGGAAAGGCCCACCAAGGCGACGAUCCGUAGCUGGUCUGAGAGGAUGAUCAGCCACACUGGAACUGAGACACGGUCCAGACUCCUACGGGAGGCAGCAGUGGGGAAUAUUGGACAAUGGGCGCAAGCCUGAUCCAGCCAUACCGCGUGGGUGAAGAAGGCCUUCGGGUUGUAAAGCCCUUUUGUUGGGAAAGAAAAGCAGCAGGUUAAUACCCCGCUGUUCUGACGGUACCCAAAGAAUAAGCACCGGCUAACUUCGUG